AGAUAAUACUUGAGACGAUCCAGUUUGUAUUAGUACAAAAUGGCCAAUUCAUUCAAUGAAUUGAGAAAUGACAUUCUAAGUGAGUUAGGAUGCCACGACAAUUGUAGAACACACAGUGUUUAACAAGUAACCAAUGAGAAUUUCUGAUCUAUCAAUCAGUUGGUAGUAUCGAGGACUACCAAGAUUAUAACGGAUAACGAGGAAUUGGGGUUCGACAUCGGAGAGGGAGCUUUACAGAUGGCUACCACUUCUAAGGAAGGCAGCAGGCGCGUAAAUUACCCACUUUCGAAUUCAAGAGGUAGUGACGACACAUAACUCUAGAGUUGAGUAAAAUCAAUUCUUGAAGGAAUGAGUAGGAGGUAAAUUCUCCUACGAAAUCAAUUGGAGGGCAAGUCUGGUGCCAGCAGCCGCGGUAAUUCCAGCUC
RNAcentral lists this ribosomal RNA (425 nucleotides) under Entamoeba histolytica. RNAcentral describes it as "bacterial SSU rRNA". It matches the Rfam family "Eukaryotic small subunit ribosomal RNA", at positions 162 to 591 of the family's 1831-position model. Lineage: Eukaryota; Evosea; Mastigamoebida; Endamoebidae. The record is from RNAcentral.